Molecule: ribosomal RNA, 302 nt
Filed under: Emerita analoga
Lineage: Eukaryota; Metazoa; Arthropoda; Malacostraca; Decapoda; Hippidae
Description: partial 16S ribosomal RNA
Rfam family: Bacterial large subunit ribosomal RNA
Source: RNAcentral
UUCAUAAAUAUUGAAGUUAACUUUUAAGUGAAAAGGCUUAAAUACUUUGGGGGGACGAUAAGACCCUAUAAAUCUUAACAUUUCUACUAUUAAAUGUACUUAGAGUGUAGUUGAUGUAUGUUUAUUGGGGUAGUGUUUUACUGGGGCGGUAUAAAUAAAAUUAGUAACUGUUUAUAUUAAUUACAGUAAUAUCUGAACAUUUGUAGAUCCUUAAUUAAAGAUCAAAAGGUUAAGUUACUUUAGGGAUAACAGCGUUAUUUCUUUUAAGAGUUCAUAUCUAAAAAGAAGUUUGCGACCUCGAU